CCGGAGAAUGUUAUCACGGGAGACACACGGCGGGUGCUAACGUCCGUCGUGAAGAGGGAAACAACCCAGACCGCCAGCUAAGGUCCCAAAGUCAUGGUUAAGUGGGAAACGAUGUGGGAAGGCCCAGACAGCCAGGAUGUUGGCUUAGAAGCAGCCAUCAUUUAAAGAAAGCGUAAUAGCUCACUGGUCGAGUCGGCCUGCGCGGAAGAUGUAACGGGGCUAAACCAUGCACCGAAGCUGCGGCAGCGACGCUUAUGCGUUGUUGGGUAGGGGAGCGUUCUGUAAGCCUGCGAAGGUGUGCUGUGAGGCAUGCUGGAGGUAUCAGAAGUGCGAAUGCUGACAUAAGUAACGAUAAAGCGGGUGAAAAGCCCGCUCGCCGGAAGACCAAGGGUUCCUGUCCAACGUUAAUCGGGGCAGGGUGAGUCGACCCCUAAGGCGAGGCCGAAAGGCGUAGUCGAUGGGAAACAGGUUAAUAUUCCUGUACUUGGUGUUACUGCGAAGGGGGGACGGAGAAGGCUAUGUUGGCCGGGCGACGGUUGUCCCGGUUUAAGCGUGUAGGCUGGUUUUCCAGGCAAAUCCGGAAAAUCAAGGCUGAGGCGUGAUGACGAGGCACUACGGUGCUGAAGCAACAAAUGCCCUGCUUCCAGGAAAAGCCUCUAAGCAUCAGGUAACAUCAAAUCGUACCCCAAACCGACACAGGUGGUCAGGUAGAGAAUACCAAGGCGCUUGAGAGAACUCGGGUGAAGGAACUAGGCAAAAUGGUGCCGUAACUUCGGGAGAAGGCACGCUGAUAUGUAGGUGAAGUCCCUUGCGGAUGGAGCUGAAAUCAGUCGAAGAUACCAGCUGGCUGCAACUGUUUAUUAAAAACACAGCACUGUGCAAACACGAAAGUGGACGUAUACGGUGUGACGCCUGCCCGGUGCCGGAAGGUUAAUUGAUGGGGUCAGCGCAAGCGAAGCUCUUGAUCGAAGCCCCGGUAAACGGCGGCCGUAACUAUAACGGUCCUAAGGUAGCGAAAUUCCUUGUCGGGUAAGUUCCGACCUGCACGAAUGGCGUAAUGAUGGCCAGGCUGUCUCCACCCGAGACUCAGUGAAAUUGAACUCGCUGUGAAGAUGCAGUGUACCCGCGGCAAGACGGAAAGACCCCGUGAACCUUUACUAUAGCUUGACACUGAACAUUGAGCCUUGAUGUGUAGGAUAGGUGGGAGGCUUUGAAGUGUGGACGCCAGUCUGCAUGGAGUCGACCUUGAAAUACCACCCUUUAAUGUUUGAUGUUCUAACGUGGACCCGUGAUCCGGGUUGCGGACAGUGUCUGGUGGGUAGUUUGACUGGGGCGGUCUCCUCCUAAAGAGUAACGGAGGAGCACGAAGGUUGGCUAAUCCUGGUCGGACAUCAGGAGGUUAGUGCAAUGGCAUAAGCCAGCUUGACUGCGAGCGUGACGGCGCGAGCAGGUGCGAAAGCAGGUCAUAGUGAUCCGGUGGUUCUGAAUGGAAGGGCCAUCGCUCAACGGAUAAAAGGUACUCCGGGGAUAACAGGCUGAUACCGCCCAAGAGUUCAUAUCGACGGCGGUGUUUGGCACCUCGAUGUCGGCUCAUCACAUCCUGGGGCUGAAGUAGGUCCCAAGGGUAUGGCUGUUCGCCAUUUAAAGUGGUACGCGAGCUGGGUUUAGAACGUCGUGAGACAGUUCGGUCCCUAUCUGCCGUGGGCGCUGGAGAACUGAGGGGGGCUGCUCCUAGUACGAGAGGACCGGAGUGGACGCAUCACUGGUGUUCGGGUUGUCAUGCCAAUGGCACUGCCCGGUAGCUAAAUGCGGAAGAGAUAAGUGCUGAAAGCAUCUAAGCACGAAACUUGCCCCGAGAUGAGUUCUCCCUGACCCUUUAAGGGUCCUGAAGGAACGUUGAAGACGACGACGUUGAUAGGCCGGGUGUGUAAGCGCAGCGAUGCGUUGAGCUAACCGGUACUAAUGAACCGUGAGGCUUAACCUUACAACGCCGAAG
RNAcentral lists this ribosomal RNA (1996 nucleotides) under Shigella sonnei. RNAcentral describes it as "partial 23S ribosomal RNA". It matches the Rfam family "Bacterial large subunit ribosomal RNA", at positions 962 to 2925 of the family's 2925-position model. The record is from RNAcentral. Lineage: Bacteria; Pseudomonadati; Pseudomonadota; Gammaproteobacteria; Enterobacterales; Enterobacteriaceae.